GUGUUUUCCAGGCUCAGGUGAAGCAGCCAUGUAUGUCCCCAAACCAGCACCAAACUGCAGCUCUGGUCAUCCAAGGUCCCCAAGGAACCCAAAAUAUGGAAGGACAUGCCUAAAUUGCAGAGAUCUGAAAACUCACGUGGAGCUUUGCUUUUCCAAACUCCAAUGUUGUCAAGCUCUACAGGAAAGUGCUAUAAAUGUGGUGUAAGUGAAAGACUUGUGGUGUAAAGCCUGCUUGAGAUGGGUUUCUCAAAGACAAUGAAUGUAUGCAAGCCACACUGCAGCUGAGGAACAUCCUUAUAUCCUUGGACAGAACUUUAUCACCUUCCUAAGCUCUUAAUGUUGAUUUUUUUUUUUCCCUGGCUUGAGCUGGUGACUGAAUCUCAUAUGCUUGCAGAGGACCAGCUUGCUGUCAUCUCGUUGGCAUUCUGGUUUGCCACUCGCAAUUAAAUCUAAAUGUUUCUACGUGCCUUUCCCCAAAGACAAGAACCUGCUUGCAAUGAGCUUCCCGGUGACAGGGAUCCAACUUCCCACUGUGCUCGCUCGUCUGACCUUUGGAGCGUGGAAGGUUGCGAUGCACCCGCCUGCAGGGACCGGCACGGUGUCUCUUAAUUGUGCUCUGUAAUCAGCGGCUCGUUCGCAGCCCUCUGCAAUGACACAGCUUCGUCCUCCGGCUGAGGGCACCGCGGGAGGCGCUCGGCAGGCAAAGGCACGAAGGAAGAUCGAGUGCUCCCGGCAGCUCUGCUGGGAGGCUCCUUGGAGCUGCGAGAGGAACCUCAGCGCGUGUUUUAUGGUGCAUUGAUUGGGAAAGGAGGCAUAAAAUACCCACAUUCUCCUGGGGAGCUUCCAUUGCCCAAGGCAAAAUGGGACCCAAAGGGCGCUGGGAUCCUAAACAGUAUUAAUUCCCGUGUAAAGAUGUGUGUGUGUGACCGUGGAUUAAUCCAAAGUCAGGAGAAAUAGGUCCCACCCAAUGUUUUGUGGGAGUUUGCAGGCUCAUAGGGAGGAACCUGUGAUACACACCACAAUAAACUGCUGGGUGAAGCAGGGGAAGCCUUCAUUGCAUCAUCGGGGGUGAAGGAGCUCCAAAGGUUUUCCACUUCUCAAAAAAAAGGAAGAGUGAAGGACCUGUACUGUGGCUUUGCUUUGGAUUAGUAAAAGUUUCUGUAUAAGUUCUGUAUAGAAAUGGAGGCACCUCAGAGCUUUGCACAAACACCUUUCACCUAAGCAGCAGUAAAAAUGGACUUUUGAAGAAAUGGCAACUAAUGGGCGUGGUCCAGGAGAGAUGUGACUUUGCUUCUUCAAGGUGUCCAUGGGUCAGGUGCUGCUCCACCUUGAGAGCUGAAGAUGUAAGGGCAGAAACGGCAAAAUCAGCCCAACAUUGAACCGAAGUGCCAUGUGCUCAGAAAUGGGUUGAACGAGACACUCUGUGACCAUGAAAUCACAUUUUGGAAAGGCUGAAGUAGAUAAGCUCAGUGCUGAAGCUGCUUCAGCCUUGUGCAGGAGGUGAGCCUGUAGUGUAGGAUGGCUCUCUGAGUCCUUCCUGGAGUAUCUACCUUCCAGAAUCCUUUCUGGAGCAUUAGCCUUUCUCACAUACAACAAUCAUUCCCUGCUUUGGUGGAUUCUCCUGAAAUAAAAUCUGCAUAAAUGGAGCUGCUGCAGACCUGUCUGGAUUGAAACACAUCAUGUUGUAGGAUGGAAAGAAGUAGCUGUGUGUUUUUCUUCAAGGCAAAAUUUCUUAUGUUCUUGACAGCUUUUGAAAAAAAAAGGUGGUGUAUGUGGAGUGAAAAUCUUUGAUGGGGAAGUGAAAUAAAAAUGAAUUAUA
Molecule: long non-coding RNA, 1819 nt
Organism: Zonotrichia leucophrys gambelii
Lineage: Eukaryota; Metazoa; Chordata; Aves; Passeriformes; Passerellidae
Exons: 2
Source: RefSeq, a predicted model, not a curated record